AUUGAACGCUGGCGGCAUGCUUUACACAUGCAAGUCGAACGGCAGCGCGGGGGCAACCCUGGCGGCGAGUGGCGAACGGGUGAGUAAUGUAUCGGAACGUAUCCUGUAAUGGGGGAUAACCAGUCGAAAGAUUGGGUAAUACCGCAUACGCACGAGAGUGGAAAGUAGGGGAUCGCAAGACCUUACGUUAUAGGAGCGGCCGAUAUCUGAUUAGCUAGUUGGUGGGUAAAGGCCUACCAAGGCGACGAUCAGUAGCUGGUCUGAGAGGAUGAUCAGCCACACUGGGACUGAGACACGGCCCAGACUCCUACGGGAGCAGCAGUGGGGAAUUUUGGACAAUGGGCGAAAGCCUGAUCCAGCCAUGCCGCGUGCGGGAAGAAGGCCUGGUGUAACGCUUAGUCU
Molecule: ribosomal RNA, 402 nt
Filed under: uncultured bacterium
Lineage: Bacteria
Description: bacterial SSU rRNA
Rfam family: Bacterial small subunit ribosomal RNA
Source: RNAcentral